CUACGGGUCGCACCAGUGGGGAAUAUUGGACAAUGGGGGAAACCCUGAUCCAGCAAUGCCGCGUGUGUGAAGAAGGCCUGCGGGUUGUAAAGCACUUUCGGUUGGGAGGACUGCUUCUAGCACUAAUAUUGUUGGAAGUUGACGUUACCUUCAGAAGAAGCACCGGCUAACUCCGUGCCAGCAGCCGCGGUAAUACGGAGGGUGCAAGCGUUAAUCGGAAUUACUGGGCGUAAAGCGCGCGUAGGCGGCUAGAUCAGUCGGGUGUGAACGCCCCGGGCUUAACCUGGGAACUGCAUCCGAUACUGUCUAGCUUGAGUACAGGAGAGGAGAGUGGAAUUCCACAUGUAGCGGUGAAAUGCGUAGAUAUGUGGAGGAACACCAAUGGCGAAGGCAGCUCUCUGGCCUGAUACUGACGCUGAGGUGCGAAAGCGUGGGGAGCAAACAGUAUUAGAUACCCCAGUAGUC
This 465-nucleotide ribosomal RNA is filed under the name uncultured bacterium. RNAcentral describes it as "partial 16S ribosomal RNA". It matches the Rfam family "Bacterial small subunit ribosomal RNA", at positions 339 to 795 of the family's 1533-position model. The record is from RNAcentral.